RNAcentral lists this ribosomal RNA (899 nucleotides) under Verticillium nubilum. RNAcentral describes it as "LSU rRNA". It matches the Rfam family "Eukaryotic large subunit ribosomal RNA", at positions 38 to 963 of the family's 3401-position model. The record is from RNAcentral. Lineage: Eukaryota; Fungi; Ascomycota; Sordariomycetes; Glomerellales; Plectosphaerellaceae.
GCAUAUCAUAAGCGGAGGAAAAGAAACCAACAGGGAUUGCCUUAGUAACGGCGAGUGAAGCGGCAACAGCUCAAAUUUGAAAUCUGGCUCCUUCGGGGCCCGAGUUGUAAUUUGCAGAGGAUGCUUCGAGUUUUGGUUCCUUCCGAGUUCCCUGGAACGGGACGCCAUAGAGGGUGAGAGCCCCGUCUGGUUGGAAACCAUGCUCAUGUGAAGCUCCCUCGACGAGUCGAGUAGUUUGGGAAUGCUGCUCUAAGGGGAGGUAUACUCCUUCCAAGGCUAAAUACCGGCUGGAGACCGAUAGCGCACAAGUAGAGUGAUCGAAAGAUGAAAAGUACUUUGAAAAGAGAGUCAAACAGCACGUGAAAUUGUUAAAAGGGAAGCGCUCGCUACCAGACGUGGGUUCGGUGGUUCAACCAGGUCCAUGACCUGGGGCACUCCGCCGGCCCAGGCCAGCAUCAGCUUUCCGUCGGGGGUAAAGACGUCGGGAAUGUGGCUCUCCUUCGGGGGAGUGUUAUAGCCCGUCGUGUCAUACCCUUCGGGGGGCUGAGGUACGCGCUCCGCAAGGAUGCUGGCGUAAUGGUAGCUAGUGACCCGUCUUGAAACACGGACCAAGGAGUCAACCUUAUGUGCGAGUGCCCGGGCGUAAAACCCCAGCGCGGAAUGAAAGUGAACGUAGGUGAGAGCUUCGGCGCAUCACCGACCGAUCCUGAUGUCCUCGGACGGAUUUGAGUGAGAGCAUAUAGGGUUGGACCCGAAAGAAGAUGAACUAUGCGUGUGUAGGGUGAAGCCAGAGGAAACUCUGGUGGAGGCUCGCAGCGGUUCUGACGUGCAAAUCGAUCGUCAAACAUGCGCAUGGGGGCGAAAGACUAAUCGAAUCUUCUGGUAGCUGGUUUCGCCCG